This 165-nucleotide ribosomal RNA is filed under the name uncultured bacterium. Its description in RNAcentral is "partial 16S rRNA". It matches the Rfam family "Bacterial small subunit ribosomal RNA", at positions 355 to 511 of the family's 1533-position model. The record is from RNAcentral.
UAGGGAAUCUUCGGCAAUGGGGGCAACCCUGGCCGAGCAACGCCGCGUGAGUGAAGAAGGUUUUCGGAUCGUAAAGCUCUGUUGUAAGAGAAGAACGUGUGUGAGAGUGGAAAGUUCACACAGUGACGGUAACUUACCAGAAAGGGACGGCUAACUACGUGCUAG